AGUAAAAUAUGAGUGUAAUAAACAUAAAAAAUUUAAUAUUUGAGGAAGAGAAAGAAGAAUUCUCUUGGGACGAAAACGCAUUAAAAGCUUUCAAAAAGGUUAUCAGAGAUCAAGGAUUUAAAUUUCAAAUGGACGAUAUUUUUCUUCUUGGUUUUCUUCGUGCUAGAAAGUAUGAUAUUGAAAGAUCUCUUCAGUUACUUAAAAACUACUUCAAAAUUUGAAUAUGAUGCAGUUUUUACCAAAACCCGAUCAGGACGGAAGUUACAUUUUCGUUUACCAAUUUCGUAAUUGGGAUACUUCUGUUGCAAAUGGUAUUGAGCUCCUGCGUGCCAUAAUGAUUGUUAUGGAUUUUCAAUUAAAUUUUCACAGAACACAAGAAAAGAAAAUUGUUUGUAUUAUUGACUCAGCCGGUAUAUCAUUGACGCAUUUCUACCAUUUUUCACCUAGAAUCAUCAGUUCAAUGGUGACUUUU
RNAcentral lists this unclassified non-coding RNA (472 nucleotides) under Centruroides sculpturatus (bark scorpion). RNAcentral describes it as "alpha-tocopherol transfer protein-like, transcript variant X3". The record is from RNAcentral. Lineage: Eukaryota; Metazoa; Arthropoda; Arachnida; Scorpiones; Buthidae.